CAGUAGCCGCGGUAAUACAGAGGGUGCGAGCGUUAUCCGGAUUUAUUGGGUUUAAAGGGUCCGUAGGCGGACUUAUAAGUCAGUGGUGAAAGCCUGUCGCUUAACGAUAGAACUGCCAUUGAUACUGUAAGUCUUGAGUAUAUUUGAGGUAGCUGGAAUAAGUAGUGUAGCGGUGAAAUGCAUAGAUAUUACUUAGAACACCAAUUGCGAAGGCAGGUUACCAAGAUAUAACUGACGCUGAGGGACGAAAGCGUGGGUAGCGAACAGGAUUAGAUACCCCAGUAGUCCCUGUCUCUUAUAC
Molecule: ribosomal RNA, 301 nt
Filed under: uncultured bacterium
Lineage: Bacteria
Description: partial 16S ribosomal RNA
Rfam family: Bacterial small subunit ribosomal RNA
Source: RNAcentral